Molecule: non-coding RNA, 180 nt
Organism: Roseburia sp. CAG:45
Lineage: Bacteria; Bacillati; Bacillota; Clostridia; Lachnospirales; Lachnospiraceae
Rfam family: 6S / SsrS RNA
About the family: E. coli 6S RNA was the first non coding RNA to be sequenced, but its function was unknown until recently. It consists of 184 nucleotides that fold into an extended hairpin structure with a large single-stranded internal bulge.
Source: Rfam
UUAUGCCUGGGAUGUUCGACACGCCUGUUAUUUUGAACCUACAUUUACUUUAAACGGGAUUCCAAUAUUUCCAAUAGGAUGUCAGGCCUCCGUUUGCAGUGGAAGGCAGAGUAUUGGUUGAGGUUACCCACCUAGCUUUGCUAGGAGUCAAAAUACAGGAAACGGCAUUUUGGGUAUAUU